GUCACCGGGUGAAGAUGAGCCUUCCACGCUUUGCGCGCAGCCCGCCGCGCGGCCAAGCUCUUGGAUAAAGACUGCUGGCAGAUCAGAAAAGGAUGCUCAGGAGAUGAAAAAGUUUCUUUAAGUAUGGAACAAACUGUAUUUGAAUGCCCCAAAGGAACAGUGAAACACCAAGAGGAUGUGUUGCUUUAGAGACCACACUCCUCUCAGCUACUUCUCCAUCAGUAUAUCUGCCUGCAUGCUGCCAUGCUUCCCAUCAUGAUGAUAAUUGACUAAACCUCUGGAUGGGAUCAGAUUCUCGAAAGUGAAAAGACAAGAAAUGCCAAUUUUAAAAUUGAAGAGCAAAAGACCAUAAACUUCUACUACCCCACCUCCAAUUUACCAGCUCAUAAUACACUGAAGUCAGAUGCAUUGAAUGCUUAUCUACUGUGUGCCAACUCUGUGACCCUGAGCUGUGGUGAGAUCACUAAAGGGAGCGGGGACCUGGUGAUAGAAAAUAUGCCCUGUGAAGAUGUCGGGGUGAUAAACAAAUGGAUGGACCUCUCAGUUCUUUAAAAAACACAAUGGACAAGAAAUACAGAUAAUGGAUCAAAGAAAAUCAGUACAACAUUAGAUUAAUUUCACAUUCCCCUUUAUUGUUUUAUCUGUCAUCUAACUUGUGUGAACAUUCCAGAACCAUCAAUUUGAUUAAAUAAACACAUUUUAAGGUUGUAGGGUGUGUCUAGCUGCUGCUGCUGAUUAUAUUAAAUGUAAUCAGUUUUACAAAGUACUCUGAUUUCUGCUCCUGUUAAAAAUGCCAAUGUGAAAUGGGAUAUAGCCUAUAAAUCUUUUGGAAAGGGUGUGGAGUAAUUUAGUGGCCUCACAUUUUCCUUAUUUAAUAUCUAUUAAGUGCUAAUAAUUUGAUAUUAUCUAUGACUAAAAUGUUGCACAGAAAUGAUAUAUUCCUUGCUUGUGCAUAAUUCAUAUUCUGACAUGGUAAAUUAUGAUAUAGAAAUGUUUUAUUUUCUCUGACUAAGAUUUCAUUUUAAAUACAUAGCAAAAUAUUUGAUUUAAGAAAGAGUUAAUGAUGUAUUCUAGAAUAUUAAAUCUAGAAAACAAGCGCAUUCUGGAGCUCAAUCAUUUAUGAAACAUCCUAUGAAAUGGGAUGCCAUGACUCCAUUUAUGACAGUGGUAGACACUGUUAAUUGACCACCAAAAUAUUUUGUCCCUGAGUCUUCGUGACCAUGGACUUAAACUUUUACAAUAUGCUAUCUAGAGAGACAUGUCUCACUACUAGAAAAUUCAUAAGGAAUUUGCUAAAGAGUAUAAUUCUGGUACUAAGGAUAGUUUAAAUAAGUGACCACGGGUUAAAGUUUGUCUCUCAGGAUCAAAGCUUGAACCUGGGUCCUGGUUUCCUAGAUAUCAUGGUAAUCAUUUUAGCUAUGUCUCACUGUUAUAGACCACCUCAACUUGGAGGCUUUAGGAUUCUACUUUCAUGAUGGUAGCUAAAUAAUCCUGGCUCUCUUUCUUUUUUGAAUACCAUUCUGUGGUAUUGAUUGUUGUAUGAGAGAUCUCCUGCUUCCAUACCUAAUGAAAAACUUCAAUGUCCACACUAUGGUUUCAAGUGUUGAAAUUACAAAAUAAUCACACUGAGUUCUUCAGCUUGAAGCUGAGGUGACAGUAGAGGAGGCUGGCAGAUUUGUUUCCUGCAGACACCAGAAAGUCAUCAUAGCCAAAUUGAUUCCCAUUUUGCUUAGAUCUUGACUGGAAUUUUAAAUUCUAAGUAGGAGUGAAAUAAGCCUGAAUUCUGAUUGCUGUUGUGGGACUGGAUAUUUUAAAAUAAGGAUUUUACUUUCCCAAACUCUUCUGAAGCAUACUGAUAAACCAUCACCAUCUUAGCAGCUUUACUUAAAAGCCCUUUAGGGAGCUAAAACAAUUGUCUUCUAGGAAAGAAGAAAAUGCUGUCAAAAUUGCCAAAAUUUUGUUGAUUUAUUUAAUCUGCAAUGGCAGGCUUGCUUCACAUCCUCAUUCCCAGUGAAAUCAAAUAAUUGCAAGAUGGAAUGGUAGUGAAAUCUUAUAUUCAAAUUUCUCAAUAAUAAUACCUAAUGUAUACAGGGCAAAAUCUACUUUUUAACCAUUUUUAACCUCAUUUGAAUCUUCACUCACACAUUUGUAUAGUAUACAUAAAUAGCAUAAGGUCAUCCAAAGAAAAGAGGCUAGAAAUUAAAUUCAUUUUCAGAUAUGAGUCAUUCCAAAAUUUGGACUCUGCCAAUCUUUUCUUUUUGUGUCUUGGAAGAAAGGGGUGAGGGUCAUAAUUUUUGCAGAGUUCAAGGGAUUCAGGAAAGAAGCAUGUAAUAACAUCCUGCCAACUCUAAAACCAAUUUCGGGAUUCAAGUAAACGAACCCAUAGUUAUAUAAAUCAUGAAUGAAUAUGCAGAUGAUGAAACAGACUUUCUUUGUUAGAGAAUGGCACCUAAUAGAAUUAGAAGAAAUGGAGUUAUUUUGAAAACCUGGACUUAACCAUCAUAAGAAAAGCAGACUGAUACCACUAAGAUUUAUUAAUAAGACAAUUCUUGAUCCAGAUUUUCAGAUUCAUAACAUUUCAAAUAAUCUCUUUAUCACUGUAUUCUCAAUAAAAAUAUUGGAUAUUGGUGAAAAAAAUAAAAACCGUGCGUUGGG
Long non-coding RNA from Grammomys surdaster, 2655 nucleotides. RefSeq lists it as uncharacterized. The transcript has 5 exons. The record is from RefSeq and is a predicted model, not a curated record. Lineage: Eukaryota; Metazoa; Chordata; Mammalia; Rodentia; Muridae.